This 1002-nucleotide ribosomal RNA is filed under the name Wickerhamomyces sp. RNAcentral's name for it is "SSU rRNA". It matches the Rfam family "Eukaryotic small subunit ribosomal RNA", at positions 84 to 1096 of the family's 1831-position model. Lineage: Eukaryota; Fungi; Ascomycota; Saccharomycetes; Phaffomycetales; Wickerhamomycetaceae. The record is from RNAcentral.
AACUCGCGAAUGGCUCAUUAAAUCAGUUAUCGUUUAUUUGAUAGUGCUUUUACUAAUCGGUAUAACCGUGGUAAUUCUAGAGCUAAUACGUGCUAAAAAUCCCGACCUCUGGAAGGGAUGUAUUUAUUAGAUAAAAAAAUCAAUGUCUUCGGACUCUUUGAUGAUUCAUAAUAACUUUUCGAAUCGCAUGGCCUUGUGCUGGCGAUGGUUCAUUCAAAUUUCUGCCCUAUCAACUUUCGAUGGUAGGAUAGUGGCCUACCAUGGUUGCAACGGGUAACGGGGAAUUAGGGUUCGAUUCCGGAGAGGGAGCCUGAGAAACGGCUACCACAUCCAAGGAAGGCAGCAGGCGCGCAAAUUACCCAAUCCCAAUACGGGGAGGUAGUGACAAUAAAUAACGAUACAGGGCCCUUUCGGGUCUUGUAAUUGGAAUGAGUACAAUUUAAAUACCUUAACGAGGAACAAUUGGAGGGCAAGUCUGGUGCCAGCAGCCGCGGUAAUUCCAGCUCCAAGAGCGUAUGUAAAAGUUGUUGCAGUUAAAAAGCUCGUAGUUGAACCUUGGGCUUGGUUGGCCGGUCCGCUUUUUUGCGAGUACUGGAUUCAACCGAGCCUUUCCUUCUGGCUAACUAGUUACUUCGGUGGCUAGCGAACCAGGACAUUUACUUUGAGAAAAUUAGAGUGUUCAAAGCAGGCAUUAGCUUGAAUAUAUUAGCAUGGAAUAAUAGAAUAGGACGUUAUGGUUCUAUUUUUGUUGGUUUCUAGGACCAUCGUAAUGAUUAAUAGGGACGGUCGGGGGCAUCAGUAUUCAGUUGUCAGAGGUGAAAUUCUUGGAUUUACUGAAGACUAACUACUGCGAAAGCAUUUGCCAAGGACGUUUUCAUUAAUCAACGAACGAAAGUUAGGGGAUCGAAGAUGAUCAGAUACCGUCGUAGUCUUAACCAUAAACUAUGCCGACUAGGGAUCGGGUGUUGUCCUUUUUUUGGCGCACUCGGCACCUUACGAGAA